AUCUCGGUCGCCCAGUUGGUAAGACACUGCUCUAGCAUUGCAGAGGUCGUGGGUUCGAAUCCCACCUGAGAAA
This is a non-coding RNA of Asterias rubens (European starfish), 73 nucleotides long. The record is from the annotation of a RefSeq genome assembly. Lineage: Eukaryota; Metazoa; Echinodermata; Asteroidea; Forcipulatida; Asteriidae.